UAGGAGGCUAGCUCACCUGGCUCACUCUGAACAAACACACCUGGCUGGCCACAUGGUGCAGGCCUCAUCCUUUCAAUCCUGGACUCUGUACAUGACCAAUAUUGUCCGCUUGUGUUCUCGAUAAGAGUGUUCCUCCUGUUACGACUCCUGUUGGCUGUUUCUGGAUGCUCACCUGGCUGCCUUUCAAUUCACGUCGGUCUCCUCCGCCCCGUGGUCCCCAUAAAAGUGAUGGGCAGUGAAGACCCUGCACUACCAAGUAAAUUCCUCUCUGCAUCUCCUGCUGUAAUUCCCAUUACUGCCUUGGACUCCAGAAGCUCACAUCCCCCCCAAAAAAACCUGUUCAUUCUUUCCCUUCUCCUCCUCCUCCUCCUCCUCCUGCACCUCCUCU
Paralichthys olivaceus (Japanese flounder) is the source of this 388-nucleotide long non-coding RNA. RefSeq lists it as uncharacterized. Lineage: Eukaryota; Metazoa; Chordata; Actinopteri; Pleuronectiformes; Paralichthyidae. The record is from RefSeq and is a predicted model, not a curated record.